GUGAAUCAUCGAAUUUUUGAACGCAAAUUGCACUCUCUUCGGAGAGUAUACGUGUUUGAGGGUCAGUAUUAAUAAAAAUCGGUGUGUUGCUUCUUUGUGACGCUCCGGAGUUUGGGUCAUCUUAAUAUCCUUUAGGUUUUAAGAGGCUUAAAAUUGACUUGUUUUGCGCAUUGUAGAUGUACAUAAAUUCUUUUUUUUAGUCGUCUGUCUUAAUGCUCAAUAUCCUAUUAGAUGCGACCAUAUCGUGGGGUUUCGUGCUGAUAAAUUGUAUAUGAUUG
Molecule: unclassified non-coding RNA, 278 nt
Filed under: Rhizophagus sp. (in: glomeromycetes)
Lineage: Eukaryota; Fungi; Glomeromycota; Glomeromycetes; Glomerales; Glomeraceae
Description: partial contains 5.8S ribosomal RNA and internal transcribed spacer 2
Rfam family: 5.8S ribosomal RNA (bases 1-65)
Source: RNAcentral